Long non-coding RNA from Agrilus planipennis (emerald ash borer), 2245 nucleotides. RefSeq lists it as uncharacterized. The record is from RefSeq and is a predicted model, not a curated record. The transcript is spliced from 3 exons. NCBI's taxonomy places the organism in Eukaryota, Metazoa, Arthropoda, Insecta, Coleoptera, Buprestidae.
UGGAACUAUUCACCUACGGAAGCUCUUUCAGUGUUUCGACUGUUGACUACUGAGUGGACACAACAAUGUUAUUCCAGAAAUAUUCCAAUCAUCGACACUGCUUACUGAAUUGGAAAGUACUUGGAACUAUUCACCUACGGAGUAUUCCCUCAGUGUUUCGGGCUGUUGGCUACAGAAGUGGACACAAUAACGUUAUUCCAGAAAUAUUCCAAAUCAUUGACACUACAUACUGCAUUGGAAAGAUUCGACGAUGUCCAUAUUUUGCUGUUGGAGUAAGUUCCUAAGGUGCGUUGGAGCCCUACCAUCAUCUAGCUUCGGUGGAUGAUGGAACAAUGGAGUGUUACUUUUUAAAAUUUAUUUUUUUGAGUGGGUUUAUUGAACAAAAUUUUGCUUUAAUAAUUUCCAUUUUCUUUUCCAAUAUUUUUAAUUACUCUUAUGCUGCUAUAGUUUAAUACUUUCUUUUUCAUUUAAACUUCUUCGUAGGACAGGUAAUUGUAAUUUUCUCAUUUAAGCUUUUAUAAUUAAUUUGUCGUUCUUCAUUUGGAUUUCUUUUUAAUAGAUUACUUUCACAUGUUUAAUUAUUAGCAAAAUCAUAUAAAUAGUAUAUUGGAACUUCUCAUUCAUAUUACAUUGUUAUUUUUCUUUAGCUUAAUUUUUUAUCUAGUUUGCAUUAUUGUGGCUUAUUAUUUUGUACAGUCAAUUGUGGUAAUUUUUUUUUAAUUUGAUUAAUUUUUUAUUAUACAAUCAUUAGGUAUCUUGCAUUUCUACACUCCAAAUUCCGUUUUUAAAUGUUUUCUUAAGCGUAAGAGUAACUUUUCAAAAAAGAUUAAUGUUUGAGUUUUUCCUUUUAUUUUCAUCAAAUAGUUUACAAAUUAAACGUUAGUUAACAUAACAACAAUAAAUCCACUUUUUCAAUUGUUAAUGUAAACUGUAAUGAAUAUUUAAAAAAAUAAUGAUCUACGUUAUACGUUAUUAAAUUUAGUAGUUAAGAUAAUUUACAGCAAUUACUUGAGAUGUAAUUUAUACUAUUUAUAUAAUUAAUAUUUUAGGAAUUAAUUUAUGAAUACUAGUAAUAUCAUUUAUUUGAACUGUACUUACCAUAUACUUAAGGCUAAAAUUCCAUUAUUUAGUAUUUAUUAACUAUUAAGGAUAUCUUUGUAAAUACCAUGUAGUAAUAAAAAGGGAAAGAAAGGAAAUUCAUUAAGGGGAGAGACUGAGGGAGAAAAAGUAGUCAUUGUGAUUGUGAAGGCUGCAUGAGAUCGAAAAUGAGAAUGGGAAUUUAUUUGUGUAUGAAUGAGAGAGGGUGAGAAAAAAUAAGAAUGCAUUGGGAUAAAGUCACACUCUUGUUCAUCCCCAUGCAUUUUUGUUUUAAAACUUAAACUGCGAAUAAGAAUGGAAAUUUGUGUGUGUAUGAGUAAGGGAAAAUAAGAAUGCAUGAGAAUAAACGGUCACAUUACCGUUCACCCUCAUGCAUUUCUGUUCUCCCAUAAAUGAGUAUGGGUAAAUGUGAUUGAAAAUGGGAAUUUGUGUGUGUAUAAGUGAGUAGAAAAUAAGAAUGAAUUAGGGUAAAUGGCCGCAUUCCCGUUCACCCUCUUACAUUCUUAGUUUCUGCUAUGAGAAAGUGGAUGAACAAAAGUGAGAAUGAGAACGAAUAUGGGAGUUUGUGUAUGCAUGAGGGAUAGGGAAAAUAAGAAUGCAUGAGGGUAAACGGUCGCGUUCCCGUUCAUCGUUGUGCAUUUUUCUUCUUCCCUAUUGUGAAUGAGGGUAAGGAUGAAAGUGAGACUGGUUUUGUGUGUGUAUGUGUACGAGCGAGAGAGAGUGGGGGAAAAUGAGGAUGCAUGAGGGUAAAUUCUAUUUCACCCUCAUGCACUUUUAUUCUCUCCCAUUACGAAUGUCAGGGUGUGAACGAGGGCGUGAAUGUGUGAAAGUGUGUAUGUAUGUAUGACGUGUAUGUAUGAGAGAGAAAGUGGGGGAGAAUGAGAAUGCAUGAGGGUAAACUCCUGUUCACCCUCAUGCAUUUUUAUUCUCUCCCACUACGAAUGAGAGGGUGUGAGCGAGAGAGAGUGGGGGAGAAUAAGAAUGCAUGAGGGUAAACUCUUGUUCACCCUCAUGCACUUUUACUCUCUCCCACUACGAAUGAAAGGGUGUGAACGAGAGUGGGGGAGAAUGAGAAUGCAUGAGGGUAAACUCCUGUUCACCCUCCUGCAUUUUUAUUCUCCCCCACAGCGAAUGAGAGGGUGUGAAU